CGUCGGCUCGUGCCGUGAGGUGUUCGGGUUAAGUCCCAUAACGAGCGCCAACCCUUAUUCGUUAGUUGCCAUCUGGUAAAGCAGGGGACUCUAGCGAAACUGCCACCGUAAGGUGAGAGGAAGGUGGGGAUGACGUCAAAUCAGCACGGCCCUUAUGUCCAGGGCUACACACGUGUUACAAUGGCCGGUACAGAGGGCAGCUACCUGGUGACAGGAUGCUAAUCUCGAAAACCGGUCUCAGUUCGGAUCGAAGUCUGCAACUCGACUUCGUGAAGCUGGAUUCGCUAGUAAUCGCGCAUCAGCCAUGGCGCGGUGAAUACGUUCCCGGGCCUU
RNAcentral lists this ribosomal RNA (333 nucleotides) under uncultured Sphingobacteriales bacterium. RNAcentral describes it as "bacterial SSU rRNA". It matches the Rfam family "Bacterial small subunit ribosomal RNA", at positions 1053 to 1382 of the family's 1533-position model. The record is from RNAcentral. Lineage: Bacteria; Pseudomonadati; Bacteroidota; Sphingobacteriia; Sphingobacteriales.